GCCAGCAGCCGCGGUAACACGUAGGAUGCGAGCGUUAUCCGGAUUUACUGGGCGUAAAGCGCGUGUAGGCGGUUGAGAAAGUUGGAUGUGAAAGCUCCCGGCUUAACUGGGAGAGGUCGUUCAAAACUUCUUGACUUGAGUUUGGUAGAGGAAAAUGGAAUUCCGGGUGUAGUGGUGAAAUGCGUAGAUAUCCGGAGGAACACCAGUGGCGAAAGCGAUUUUCUGGACCAAUACUGACGCUCAGACGCGAAAGCUAGGGUAGCAAACGGGAUUAGAGACCCCGGUAGUCCUAGCUGUAAACGAUGUAGACUUGGCGUUGGAGGAGUAAAAUCUUUCAGUGCCGAAGCAAACGCGAUAAGUCUACCGCCUGGGGACUACGGCCCGCAGGGUAAAAACUCAAGGAAUUGACGGGGCCC
This 416-nucleotide ribosomal RNA is filed under the name uncultured bacterium. Its description in RNAcentral is "bacterial SSU rRNA". It matches the Rfam family "Bacterial small subunit ribosomal RNA", at positions 507 to 921 of the family's 1533-position model. The record is from RNAcentral.